This is a non-coding RNA of Linepithema humile (Argentine ant), 864 nucleotides long. The record is from RefSeq and is a predicted model, not a curated record. Lineage: Eukaryota; Metazoa; Arthropoda; Insecta; Hymenoptera; Formicidae.
CCAAAUUUAAAACUAAUUGUAAGAGUGAAUUUUAGACUUACAAUCAGUACAAUAGAUCGCGCGGUAUUCGGAAGUAGUGCGCGCGACAGCCGGAAGAGUACGCUAUUAGGCGCGGAAAGUUUUGGUGAGGCGGUUUGAAAUGGAAAUAUUUUGCAAUUCAUCGUGUACAUUAUCCUUAUUAAGAGUGUGUAAUGAGUGCAAAUUUUUGUCGGGAGUGCCGAUUAAAAUGACGGGCGAUUAUCGAAAUGUAUUAUUCAUCGCAGAUGUCUACGAUUAAUGGCGUUUUGUGGAUCAACACUGGUAUAAUAUGGUUUCAGUAAGUACAGAUUGUCAUGUUAUAAACAUAAUUACGUUGUGUAUUUCCCCAAGUGCCAAGAUCAUUUCAUGUUCGUUUUAUUCACUCUGAAUGCAUGUAUAAUAUCGAUUACAACUAUAUGCGUGACUGCUUUGUGAUAGAGAAUAUGUUUGUUUCAGGUUUACGUAUUAUGUACGGCAUGAAAUUCGCGAUAUAAAUUCGUGGCGCAAAUGAAAUAAUCGGAUAACCUAAUUUAGUAGUGUGUCUGUAAGUGCUGGUUUUUGAUAUUUAUUGAUUCUUCAAUGGAGCUGAUGCGGAACAUUGAUGAUCUAAGGCGGAAUUUACAACGGAUGCAACAAAUAUAUUAAUACUCUCUAGCUGAUACAGUUGACGGCAUAUUUAGCUAGGGUACAACGAGAUAAACUUUGUGCGCGUAAUCAGUGCUACGAAAUAUAUUCGUUCCGUUGUGAUAUAACAAAAUGCGCGUCGGGAGUGCCGUUAAUACCGGGAGUGCCGUAAUAGUUUCGCACGAUUUUCGCAUUCGAGUACGCGCGCGAGCAAUGCGUGCG